This 436-nucleotide ribosomal RNA is filed under the name uncultured bacterium. Its description in RNAcentral is "partial 16S ribosomal RNA". It matches the Rfam family "Bacterial small subunit ribosomal RNA", at positions 29 to 507 of the family's 1533-position model. The record is from RNAcentral.
AGCGAACGCUGGCGGCAGGCUUAACACAUGCAAGUCGAGCGGGCAUCCUUGUGGUGUCAGCGGCAGACGGGUGAGUAACGCGUGGGAACGUGCCCUUCGGUUCGGAAUAACUCAGGGAAACUUGAGCUAAUACCGGAUACGCCCUUUUGGGGAAAGGUUUACUGCCGAAGGAUCGGCCCGCGUCUGAUUAGCUAGUUGGUGAGGUUAUGGCUCACCAAGGCGACGAUCAGUAGCUGGUCUGAGAGGAUGAUCAGCCACACUGGGACUGAGACACGGCCCAGACUCCUACGGGAGGCAGCAGUGGGGAAUAUUGGACAAUGGGGGCAACCCUGAUCCAGCCAUGCCGCGUGAGUGAUGACGGCCUUAGGGUUGUAAAGCUCUUUUCUCCGGGACGAUAAUGACGGUACCGGAGGAAUAAGCCCCGGCUAACCUCGUG